RNAcentral lists this ribosomal RNA (107 nucleotides) under uncultured bacterium. RNAcentral describes it as "partial 16S ribosomal RNA". It matches the Rfam family "Bacterial small subunit ribosomal RNA", at positions 1365 to 1482 of the family's 1533-position model. The record is from RNAcentral.
AAUACGUUCCGGCCUUGUACACACCGCCCGUCAAGCCAUGGAAGUUGGGAGUAUCUAAAGUCGAUCACCGCAAGGAGUCGCCUAGGGUAAAACCAGUAACUGGGGCU